GUUAUCGUGGACACAUCUGUUCCCUUUUCCCCAAGAACACAUCUAUCCCCUUUCCUCUACAAGCGAGCAGCUGGUGGCGGCGGCGCUAGUCUCGGCCACCUGCGGCCAAGGAAAAAUGGAGGAUGCUGGUCUCGAGUUUCUGCUCGUUGCCGUGGACAGGUUCCCGCUGAGGGAGGAGUUCGGGGACAACAUUAAACACCCAGAUCCGGUUCCUCUGGUCUUGUUGCCCACAAGAGAAGCCAACCGUAGCAAUCCUGAAGACUCAGAUGCCUUGUUUAGUUGAGGUUAAUGGGUCAGCGACGAAGGACCUGAAAAGGCACGAGGUGGAGGCCGCCGUCUUCCAAAUUCAUCUCCAACUAGGUCGGCACAGUCAAGUAACAGAGUCAACCCAGAGGCCCCAGGUUGGACAAAAAGGUGAACCUAAAGCCCAUGCCGCUGAUUAACUAUAUGUUGAUCCUUUUGACUAUCCAAAAUCAGUUUAGGUAGCAAAAAUCGUUUAGAAACUGAGAAUCUGAUCUAGAUAGAUUAGUCGUUGGCAGCCGAUCCUUAUUGGCAGAAUGGCAGAAAGUACACUGCUGUUAGUGUUGAGAUUCUAGUAUACUGAAUGUGUGCAUUUGCAAAAAUUCAGAUUGCCAUACCAACUGCAGCUUUCGGCUUACUCUGCACGUCAGGAGUGCUUCAAUGAUAUUGCCUUUCACCUGGUACACAACCGCCAAAAGAAAAUUAAGCUAGCCAUAAUGAGUGUAGUGAAUUGAUACGAGAAUAGUGUCUCUAUUAAUACUGAUAUACACUAGAAUACAAAAAACUGUGGACAAAAAAUUCAAAGUCUUCUGUUUUAAAGCACAAACCUUGAAGCUAGAAUAGGUUUUGGAUUGCCACACUCCUUCAAAGAAGAAAGGAGGUAGGACUGAGACAUGUAUAAAGCCGCAUCGAGGCCAGGACAUAGAGAAGGGUAACUUUUGGGAUAAGAGGCUUGUUCUAAACACCAAAGAAAACAUAGUUUUAGAGCAAAGCACGGGUAGGGUUUCUAAAAGCACGAAAUAAUACUCACGGAAGUCCAUAUUUGCAUGGUGUUUUUGCUAUGGAAGGACCUGCAAAUUCAAUGUGGAAUCUGAAGUGGCCUCCUUAAAAAUAACAUCUGGUUUAGCCUGGAUAGGAUGUAAAAAAAGAGAAAAAAACUAUUGCUUUCCGUAUGUUUCAACUACUGUUGUACAGGUAGUGAAAUUAUGAUGUUUAUUUUCCUUUUGCUGAUUUGGGAAUUUUGAUAACAAGGAUCUUUGUGCUGGUGUUGCGGUUCAUUCAGUUUCAAGGGAAAAGAUAUAUGUGUGGUUUCUUUUCUUUUCUACAAUAGAAUUUGAACUUGUUGUGCAAAAAUAGAAAAAAACUUCCUGGAUUCUAUGAAAGGUUGUUGAUGUCCGUACAUGAAAUGAGAAGAAGUAUGGACACUUGAUGAGCAAGACAAUAUUAGGAUUCUAUGGUGUAAUUUGUAAUACGGCAAUUACAAAUUCGUGUGGAAUUGCAGAGACGGGUUGGUGCAGAUGUGGCAAAUUGAUGUUGGUUUUUCCUCUUAGGUUCUUGCAAGUAUUACAUUUUCUGUAGGCAUUAAUUGUGGACAUGUUUCUCAUAAACUUUCUUACUUCAAAUCCAGUACUUUAAUAAUUAUCGUCAAAGUGUUGUUCCAUGUUGUGUUCCUGGACUUCGUGUGGUACGAGCCGAUGAUUCUUUUGGGUUUAGUUUAGCUGUCCCUGCAGAAAUUUGGGCAUGUUUAGUACUUUAGUUAUGUUCUCAGACUACUUAUUUCUGUGAUCUUCAGCGAUGAUGGAAACUGGAGUGCAUCUUAAUUUGUCUAUAUAUUCUUGCAGUGGAGAAGGUAUGUCAAACAUAUAUUUGAUCAUUCCAACGUUUGGCACUUAAAGCAUGUGCUUUUAUAUGCAGAUCUUGCUGGUGUUCUAUCAUGCAUUUAUGUGUUUUAGUUUUCUUUUCCGCAAACAUAUUUUAGUCCAUCUGAGAUCAUGUGGUAGUUCCCAAAUCUCCAAGAUUAAGAAACCAAAAGAUGAAUAUGAUACAAAGGUGCUCACAGUAGAACCCCCUUAAUUUGUUGGAUAAGUAUUAUCUAUUAGAAACAAGAUAAUUCUCCACCUCAUAACUUCAUGAACUCAGAAGCUGGGAAACUGGUCAUAAAGCGAGGCUUUCAUAUUAUAAUUCGUUCAUUUUUUCAUGGGUUAUAAGUUAAUGGUUCAUUGAGUGCAUGCAUGAGCUGCUAAGUUGCAUCAGCUAUGAGUUUACAAUAUGCAAAUGACACUAACAACGAUAUGACGCAAAUUUAGGUGAUGACCAAACAAGAGGCUGUUGAUGAGAUCACUACUUUUGGAGGUGGCAAUCAGCAAAUUUUAUCCGGGCAUCGUGCAUAGGUGGUGCAAAAAUGGCAUGUGCUAAAGAAAACGAAGGAGACAUUGGGCCCUCUGUACACGAAGAAGAGUGAGUUCCAGGCUGAGUUCCAUGAGGUUGUGAACCACAUGCUAACUGAAGAUGAGUUUGAGACGGCGUUGGCUACGCUGUUAGAUAAGUACGAUCUGAGAAAGCACCCCUACAUGACCCAAAUAUACGACAUCAGAAAGGUGGGCAAAACCAUAUUUCAAGGGUUUUUUCUGUGCCAAGAUGACGAGCAUACAACGCAGUGAGAGCGUUUCCCCAUUUUUGGCUUGUGACAGGGACAGACUAAGCAUUUGCGGAAGAAGAUUGCUUACGAGAUAGUGACAAUGAAAGGGAACAAAGGAGCUAUCCCAGAGUUUCUGUAUGAUGUGAUCGUUGACUGAAGUGGAAGAUAGUAGUAGGUGUAUCUUUUGGCUGUGCGUGUGCUAGGCAGUUGGAUUAACCCGACUAAGUAGUGGGGUCAUUUUGCGGCACAAUCCCUACCAUCUUGUAUUUUGGGAAAACUAUAGUCAUGUCAUAUUUUCCCAGGUGGGAAUCUAAUUAGACUAAGUGAAAACUGGUUAUGUUGUGAGACGAAAUGACCAUGUGUCUACA
Triticum dicoccoides is the source of this 3027-nucleotide long non-coding RNA. RefSeq lists it as uncharacterized. The record is from RefSeq and is a predicted model, not a curated record. NCBI's taxonomy places the organism in Eukaryota, Viridiplantae, Streptophyta, Magnoliopsida, Poales, Poaceae. The transcript has 2 exons.